This 253-nucleotide ribosomal RNA is filed under the name uncultured bacterium. RNAcentral's name for it is "partial 16S ribosomal RNA". It matches the Rfam family "Bacterial small subunit ribosomal RNA", at positions 524 to 776 of the family's 1533-position model. The record is from RNAcentral.
UACGUAGGUGGCAAGCGUUGUCCGGAAUUAUUGGGCGUAAAGCGCGCGCAGGUGGUUUCUUAAGUCUGAUGUGAAAGCCCACGGCUCAACCGUGGAGGGUCAUUGGAAACUGGGGAACUUGAGUGCAGAAGAGGAAAGUGGAAUUCCAAGUGUAGCGGUGAAAUGCGUAGAGAUUUGGAGGAACACCAGUGGCGAAGGCGACUUUCUGGUCUGUAACUGACACUGAAGCGCGAAAGCGUGGGGAGCGAACAGG